RNAcentral lists this transfer RNA (65 nucleotides) under Brachionus angularis. RNAcentral's name for it is "tRNA-Glu". The record is from RNAcentral. Lineage: Eukaryota; Metazoa; Rotifera; Eurotatoria; Ploima; Brachionidae.
GCUUAUAUAGUAUACUAAAGUACUUAAUCUUUUCGCGAUUAAAGAGGAGUUAGCUCUUAUAAGUU